GCUGGCAUGGUGGUGCAUGCCUGUAAUCCCAGCUACUCAGGAGGCUGAGGUAGGAGGAUCACUUGAGCCCAGGAGGUCAGGGCUGCAGUGAGCUAUGAUGGCACUACUGCACUCUAGCCAGGGCAACAGAGUGAAACCCUGUCUCAA
Pongo abelii (Sumatran orangutan) is the source of this 147-nucleotide unclassified non-coding RNA. It matches the Rfam family "Metazoan signal recognition particle RNA". From Rfam's summary of the family: The signal recognition particle (SRP) is a universally conserved ribonucleoprotein. It is involved in the co-translational targeting of proteins to membranes. The record is from Ensembl. Lineage: Eukaryota; Metazoa; Chordata; Mammalia; Primates; Hominidae.